RNAcentral lists this long non-coding RNA (537 nucleotides) under Cavia porcellus (domestic guinea pig). RNAcentral describes it as "lncRNA (ENSCPOG00000034523.1)". Lineage: Eukaryota; Metazoa; Chordata; Mammalia; Rodentia; Caviidae. The record is from RNAcentral.
AUGCUAAGAAGACUUACUACUAAGGAACUCCUGCUGUUAGCAGUUACUCUCCCAAGGGUACAUACCUUUGAGAGAGACUUACACGUGUGCCAGGAGAUGGAUGUAAAAUUGUCAUAGUGACAUUGUAACAGGAGGAAAAAAAAGGAAAAACAAAGCCUGGGAAGACGCCACGUCUGUUGGAUGCGUUGUGUGUGGAAUUGCACGUAGUGAAACAGCUCCUGUGUGGACAUGGACGACCUGACACCAGUGUCCGAGGAGUGAGUCACAGAAGGCUGUGUCUGCUGCACUCUCUCGGAAGCUGAGGCAGGCUGUUAAGUACAUGGCAACCAGAGAAAAAUAAGGAAAUGAUGGGAGCACAACUCACUGUCAGCUGGUACCCUGGAAGCUUGAAGAGGGGGAGAUGUGAUCUCAGGGGGCAAGAGAUCUGCUGAAUUGGGGAUACUAUUUCUGAAGCUGGUGGGGCAUUUAAACAAUGUUAUGUGGUUUUGUAUGUAUGAUAUUUUUAAAUAAAAUUUAAAUUUUAAAAAAUGAGAAAAG